This 69-nucleotide transfer RNA is filed under the name Thalassoma hardwicke. Its description in RNAcentral is "tRNA-Arg". It matches the Rfam family "tRNA". Rfam says of the family: Transfer RNA (tRNA) molecules are approximately 80 nucleotides in length. Their secondary structure includes four short double-helical elements and three loops (D, anti-codon, and T loops). Lineage: Eukaryota; Metazoa; Chordata; Actinopteri; Labriformes; Labridae. The record is from RNAcentral. RNAcentral also lists the same sequence under 1 other name.
AGGCGGUUAGUUUACUUAAAACAUUUGAUUUCGGCUCAAAAGACUGUGGUUCGAGUCCGCAAUUGCCUA